This 253-nucleotide ribosomal RNA is filed under the name uncultured bacterium. RNAcentral's name for it is "partial 16S ribosomal RNA". It matches the Rfam family "Bacterial small subunit ribosomal RNA", at positions 524 to 776 of the family's 1533-position model. The record is from RNAcentral.
GACAGAGGUCCCGAGCGUUAGGCGGAAUCACUGGGCUUAAAGCGUGUGUAGGCGGAUCGUUAAGUGCCUUGUGAAAUCCCACGGCUCAACCGUGGAACUGCUUGGCAUACUGGCGGUCUUGAGCCACUUAGGGGCUACCGGAACAAAUGGUGGAGCGGUGAAAUGCGUAGAUAUCAUUUGGAACGCCAAUGGUGAAAACAGGUAGCUGGGAGUGUGCUGACGCUGAGACACGAAAGCCAGGGGAGCGAACGGG